This 770-nucleotide ribosomal RNA is filed under the name uncultured bacterium. RNAcentral's name for it is "bacterial SSU rRNA". It matches the Rfam family "Bacterial small subunit ribosomal RNA", at positions 565 to 1334 of the family's 1533-position model. The record is from RNAcentral.
GCGCGCGUAGGCGGCUAAUUAAGUCAAAUGUGAAAUCCCCGAGCUUAACUUGGGAAUUGCAUUCGAUACUGGUUAGCUAGAGUGUGGGAGAGGAUGGUAGAAUUCCAGGUGUAGCGGUGAAAUGCGUAGAGAUCUGGAGGAAUACCGAUGGCGAAGGCAGCCAUCUGGCCUAACACUGACGCUGAGGUGCGAAAGCAUGGGGAGCAAACAGGAUUAGAUACCCUGGUAGUCCAUGCCGUAAACGAUGUCUACUAGCCGUUGGGGCCUUUGAGGCUUUAGUGGCGCAGCUAACGCGAUAAGUAGACCGCCUGGGGAGUACGGUCGCAAGACUAAAACUCAAAUGAAUUGACGGGGGCCCGCACAAGCGGUGGAGCAUGUGGUUUAAUUCGAUGCAACGCGAAGAACCUUACCUGGCCUUGACAUAGUAAGAACUUUCCAGAGAUGGAUUGGUGCCUUCGGGAACUUACAUACAGGUGCUGCAUGGCUGUCGUCAGCUCGUGUCGUGAGAUGUUGGGUUAAGUCCCGCAACGAGCGCAACCCUUUUCCUUAUUUGCCAGCGAGUAAUGUCGGGAACUUUAAGGAUACUGCCAGUGACAAACUGGAGGAAGGCGGGGACGACGUCAAGUCAUCAUGGCCCUUACGGCCAGGGCUACACACGUGCUACAAUGGUCGGUACAAAGGGUUGCUACCUAGCGAUAGGAUGCUAAUCUCAAAAAGCCGAUCGUAGUCCGGAUUGGAGUCUGCAACUCGACUCCAUGAAGUCGGAAUCG